This is a long non-coding RNA of Homo sapiens (human), 1654 nucleotides long. Ensembl annotates it as long intergenic non-protein coding RNA 963. The record is from Ensembl. NCBI's taxonomy places the organism in Eukaryota, Metazoa, Chordata, Mammalia, Primates, Hominidae.
GUGCUAAGAAAACUGCCCCACAUCAUCUGCAGUAGGACGGGGGAGUUGGAGCCCUGGUCAGGCCACUCUGCUACUGACCACAGUUUUCUCAUCUCUAAAAAGGCGCAGUAACAAUAUAAUUACCGUAUGCAGUCCCCCAGGAUACAGGGUCAAAGGAGAGCACAACCAUCGCAGUUGGAAGCCCAUGGGGCAGCCCAGUGCAGAUGCAUCUGACUUACGAAACUUCAGUGACACCUGCUCUGUGCCAGACACUGAAGAUGGAGCAGUGAACAGCACUGACCCAGCCUGUCCUCCUGUUGCCUGCAGGCCAGACGGAGUCUCACUCUGUCACCAGGCUGGAGUACAGUGGUGUGAUCUCGGCUCACUGCAACCUCCGCCUCCCAGGUUCAAGCGAUUCUCCUGCCUCAGCCUCUCAAGUAGCUGAGAUUACAGACGUGUGUCACCAUGCCCUGUUAAUUUUUGUUUGUUUGUUUUGUUUUUUGUUUUGUUUUGUUUCGUUUUUUGUUUUUUUUUUUUGAGACGGAGUCUUGCUCUGUCGCCCAGGCUGGAGUGCAGUGGCCCCGAUCUCGGCUCACCGCAAGCUCCGCCUCGCGGGUUCAUGCCAUUCUCCGGCCUCAGCCUCCCGAGUAGCUGGGACUACAGGCAUCCGCCACCACACCCAGCUAAUUUUUUGUAUUUUUUUUAGUAGAGACGGGGUUUCACUGUGUUAGCCAGGAUGGUCUCGAUCCCCUGACCUUGUGAUCCACCCAAGGCCUCGGCCUCCCAAAGUGCUGGGAUUACAGGCAUGAGCCACCGUGCCCGGUCAAUUUUUAUAUUUUUUGUAGAGACAGGGUUUCACCAUGUUGGCCAGGCUGGUGUCGAACUCCCGACCUCAGGUGAUUGUCGGCCUUGGCCUCCCAAAGUGCUGGGAUUACAGGCGUGAGCCACCGCGCCCAGCCGGUGGGCAGCCAGUUGUGUUCCGGGAGGAGGAGGACACCCUGGAAAGACAGUGGGGCCAGACACUGAACUGCCUUUGGAAGCAAGUAGGAGCAACAGCGAAGGUUUGCUGGCUCAGAAGCAAGGUCUCGCUGUGUUACCCUGGCUGGAGUGCAGUGGCUACUUACAGGCAUGAUCAUAGCAUACUGCAGCCUCGAACUCCUGGACUAGAGCAGUUCUCCUGCCUCAGCCUCCAGAGCAGCUGGGACUGCAGACACGCACCACAGAGCCCAGCCUGAGUCAUUUUGAUUCUGUAACUGGCUUCCUCUCGGCGGGCAGGCUCACACCCUCCACCCCCAGCUGGAGAUGGAAGGAGGAUGCUCACCGCCCAUUCCUCAUGCAGGCCAUCGAUGGAAAUGUCAGACAGUGCGAGUCCACGCCUGAACACUUCUGGGGUCCGCUCUGGGACUGACACUGGCAGAUCCAUCGAUGCCGUUCCAUUGUUUGCUGACUUUCAUUGAUUCUAUGAGAAGUCUGCAGUCUUUUGCAGCGUUGUUUUCCUAUGUAUAAUUGUCUCCUCCCACCCCACUCACCCCAGCUGCUUUCCACAUUCUCUCUCUUUGAUUUUCAGCAGUCUGCCCAUGAUGUGCCUAAAUAGGACUUUCUUUGCAUUCAUCUUGGCUGGGGCUCACUGAACUUUCUGAAUCUGUAGAUUAAUUUUCUUUUUUCAAUAAACCUU